GAAAUGCGAUACGUAAUGUGAAUUGCAGAAUUCAGUGAAUCAUCGAGUCUUUGAACGCACAUUGCGCCCCCUGGUAUUCCGGGGGGCAUGCCUGUCUGAGCGUCAUUGCUGCCCUCAAGCACGGCUUGUGUGUUGGGCCCCCGUCCCCCCCCCAAGGGGACGGGCCCGAAAGGCAGCGGCGGCACCGUGUCCGGUCCUCGAGCGUAUGGGAAGCAACUUUUUGUCACCCGCUCCUGUAGGUCCGGCCGGCGGCCUGCCCAACCCCAACCUUUUUUUCAACCAGGUUGACCUCGGAUCAGGUAGGGAUACCCGCUGAACUUAAGC
Molecule: unclassified non-coding RNA, 324 nt
Filed under: plant metagenome
Description: partial contains 5.8S ribosomal RNA, internal transcribed spacer 2, and large subunit ribosomal RNA
Rfam family: 5.8S ribosomal RNA (bases 1-105)
Source: RNAcentral